RNAcentral lists this signal recognition particle RNA (267 nucleotides) under Fidelibacterota bacterium. Its description in RNAcentral is "signal recognition particle sRNA large type". It matches the Rfam family "Bacterial large signal recognition particle RNA". From Rfam's summary of the family: The signal recognition particle (SRP) is a universally conserved ribonucleoprotein involved in the co-translational targeting of proteins to membranes. Archaeal SRP consists of a 7S RNA and homologues of the eukaryotic SRP19 and SRP54 proteins. Lineage: Bacteria; Pseudomonadati; Fidelibacterota. The record is from RNAcentral.
CUAUGCUACACGGGGAGCUAGCGGUGCCCUGUAACCUGAAAUCCGCUUUAGCAGGGUGGAAUGCCAGGCAGAGGAUUUGGUCGGGGAUAAUAGGUUAAAUCGGAAGCGAUGACGCUUUCAGUUUUGCGCAAUGGAAAAUUAUCAAACCCCGUCAGGUCCGGAAGGAAGCAGCGGUAGAUAACCCUUUCUAUGUGCCGCAAAAUCAGCGAAAGCCAGCCGACGACUUUAACCGAAUAUCCCUGGACGGAUUCAAUGCCUGGUGCAUAG